UCUUCUUCCGCAGUCCCGGGGCGGUACGGCCCAGGCCUGUUCGGGGCGUGCGUCGGCUUGGCCGGCGGCCGAGGAAUUCUGGGUAACGACCGUGGCCGGCGGGGCGGCUGGCUCCGCCCAGCAGGUUCUACUCACGCCAGGGCAGUUGGCGGUGGCGGUUGUCGGGCCCGGACCAGCGGGACAUGGAGCAGCCGUGGCCGCCGCCGGGCCCCUGGAGCUUCCCGAGGACUGUCGGGGAGGCCGAGGAGGAGAGCGACUUGGACGUGUCCCCCUCUUCUUCCCACUACCCGCCGGUGCCUGGCGGCGGCGCCCAGAUGUAUAGCGAUGGGAUUGAGCUAGCUUGCCAAAAGCAGAAAGAAUUUGUGCAGAGCUCUGUGGCGUGCAAAUGGAAUCUUGCUGAAGCCCAGCAGAAACUUGGCAGCUUAGCACUGCAUAACUCUGAGUCCUUGGAUCAGGAACAGGCCAGAGCACAGACCGCGGUGUCAGAACUGAGGCAGCGGGAGGAAGAAUGGCGGCAGAAGGAGGAGGCUCUGGUCCAGAGAGAGAGGAUGAGUCUCUGGAACAUGGAUGCCGUUAGCAAGGAUGUUUUCAAUAAGAGUUUUAUUAAUCAAGAUAAAAGAAAAACAGAAGAUGAAGAUAAAUCACAAUCAUUUAUGCAGAAAUAUGAGCAAAAAAUCCGACAUUUUGGUAUGUUGAGUCGGUGGGAUGAUAGUCAGAGAUUUCUGUCUGACCAUCCGUACAUUGUAUGUGAAGAAACUGCUAAAUACCUUAUUUUAUGGUGUUUUCAUCUAGAAGCUGAGCAGAAAGGUGCUCUAAUGGAACAAAUAGCACAUCAGGCUGUGGUAAUGCAGUUUAUUAUGGAAAUGGCCAAAAACUGUAAUGUGGAUCCAAGAGGCUGUUUUCGUUUGUUUUUCCAGAAAGCCAAAGCAGAGGAAGAAGGUUAUUUUGAGGCAUUCAGAAAUGAACUUGAAGCUUUCAAGUCAAGAGUAAGACUUUAUGCUCAAUCACAAAGCUUUCAACCUGUAACAGUUCAGAAUCAUGGUCCCCAUUCUGGUGUUGGAUGCAUAGGCUCCUUAGAAUCCUUAACACAGGCUCCAAGAUUUUAAGACCAGCUUUAGCCAGUUUAUUCUGUUGUCUACAUUGGGAGAUGGAAAGUGUCAUUCAGAAGACAAUGUGAGGAGAGUCCUGUAUUUAUCUUUAAGCCUCAAAAUGAAUCCAGAUUAUCUCCAUCAUUCUAUCAGCCCACCGCUCUGCAGUGUCAGCUCAGUGGUACAUAAAGAGGAAGAGGAGAAAAUGAUGGAUACUGUGUAACUCGUGGCAGACUGCUGAGGCCAAGGACUAUUUUGUUACAGGAAAGGAAGAGCUUGGCUAUUUUCUUGACACUUUGAUGGGUGCUGCACUUUAUUUUUGUUCGGUUUUUGAUGGGAGGAAGAGUACUGAAAUGUUCUGCAACUUUUUUUAUGUGCUGCUAGGGUUUUUUGUGGUUUGGUUUUGUUUCUGAAGGGGGGAGUGGUACCAUAUGUUGCAGGAAGUCAAACUGGACUCUCCCCCACCCCUCAGUUACUAAAUUUGCCUUUAACUGUUCUUAAUUUGGAAUCAAAGUAUGAAAAUCUGCACAAUGCAAUGUUUACAAGACUGGCCGACUGAGGAGGCAUCUGCUACGUGGUCUUUUUACCGUGGAUGUGUACAUGUCCUAUUUCGUGGAAAGAAUUAAAGAUACAAGUGUGCUUAUGUCCCACUGCAAAGUUCAGCUGUCACAUCUGGUGUUCAUCACAUUAAAAGCAAUAAAUUAGUAGUGGUAACCUACUUUACUAAUAAGUACACUGGAUGGCACAAAUUAUUGUUUUAAGGUAAUAUUUACGUUUGUAUUUUCGGCACCACCAGUUAACUCCUUGACUAUAAAUUUGGUGUUAAAAACAUGACAUUUACCCUCAAGUAGUCUCAAAACUGUUGAGAAGUUGACUUUGUCCUGAUGACUGUUUAAAUAUUGAGUGUAGCACGUGUAGAAAGCGAUACAGUUUUCUGUUUUCCAACAAGAUGAACUGCAAGCUUACUCUGAUCUCUUUACUUGACAUAGUCUGGGACCUCUCAGGGAGUAAGUUUUAAAAGAAUAGCAAGGGCCUGUAAGAACAAACGGGAAGAGUAAGGUCACUGUUAAAUCACCAUUGUUGUGUGCUUUCUCUGGUGAAGCCUUGAGAAACGUUGUAGCGCUAAGCUGCCUUGAGCUGCCAGCCAUGUCUAAGAACUUGAUAACAGUCACCCUCAGUGGUGAUGAUGGGUUUCACUCCAUCUGUUACUAGCUUCUAGCUCAGUUACGAGAUGCUUCUGAGCUUUACUUCUUCCUAUGUAAGUCACUGCAGAUCCACCAGGAUAUUUGAUGAUUCUUUUUAUUUAGAAUUAGAUGACAGUGCCAAUUAUGAUAUCCUUAUUAUUUGAGGAUUAAUCUUCUGACAUACAGGACCAUUAGCCUUGAUUAUUUUUGAGUGUAAUCUUUGGCUCAGUACCCACUUUAAUUCAUAGCAAAUAUUUGGAAAGUGGGUGCCUGGGGUUGGAAAUAUAGGUCUCAGUUUGAGUAAGAAAAUCAUGUUAAGCAGCCUGCAUGGGUCAGAGCGGUGACCUUGGCUUCAUCUGUCUUCUGUCAGCCAAGGGGGCUGAAUCAAUACUUGUGGAAAUGGACUGGAAUCAUUGAAUCAUACUCCUGUAAUGUCACAAUCUUCCUGGUUCCCAGAAUAAAAGUCUUUUUGUGCUUUUGAUAUAAAUAUAUAUACUCUAUAAUAAAAUGUUUGACUAAUUUA
Onychomys torridus (southern grasshopper mouse) is the source of this 2795-nucleotide RNA transcript. It is a transcript of the gene named cell division cycle 37 like 1, with no coding region annotated. The record is from RefSeq and is a predicted model, not a curated record. The transcript is spliced from 8 exons. Lineage: Eukaryota; Metazoa; Chordata; Mammalia; Rodentia; Cricetidae.